Molecule: ribosomal RNA, 869 nt
Filed under: uncultured Neocallimastigales
Lineage: Eukaryota; Fungi; Neocallimastigomycota; Neocallimastigomycetes; Neocallimastigales
Description: partial large subunit ribosomal RNA
Rfam family: Eukaryotic large subunit ribosomal RNA
Source: RNAcentral
GUACACGCUGUGACUAGCAUAUCAAUAAGCGGAGGAAAAGGCUGCGGAACUGAACGACCGCUACCUACGCUUAGGAUGUUGACAGCAGUAUAGACUGUACACGCUGUGACUAGCAUAUCAAUAAGCGGAGGAAAAGAAACUAACAAGGAUUCCCCUAGUAACGGCGAGUGAAGCGGGAAGAGCUCAAAUUUGAAAUCUUAAAGGGUUUCCCUUUACGAAUUGUAGUUUAAAGAAGUGUUUUCUGUUGAGGUUUUGGUAAAAGUUCUUUGGAAUAGGACAUCAUAGAGGGUGAGAAUCCCGUAUUUGACCUUUACUUUCAACUUUGUGAUACACUUUCAAAGAGUCGGAUUGUUUGGGAAUGCAGUCCAAAAUGGGUGGUAAAUUUCAUCUAAAGCUAAAUAUUGGCGAGAGACCGAUAGCGAACAAGUACCGUGAGGGAAAGAUGAAAAGAACUUUGAAAAGAGAGUUAAACAGUACGUGAAAUUGUCAAAAGGGAAGCGUUUGACACCAGUGUUGUUUUUCUGAAAAUCAAUUAAAGAACUGUUUAUGCUAAGUUGUUUAGACUUUAUCAGCUAACUGUUUAGUUUUGAGCUUUUCUUUAAUGCACUUUUCAGUUAACAAGUCAACAUCAAUUUCUUUUGCUGUAAAAAGCUUGAGGAAGGUGGCUUGAGAUUCGUCUUAAGUGUUUAUAGCCUCUUGCCUAUGCAGUCGGAGAGAUUGAGGUCUGCAGCGUAGAUCCUACGGGGCUAAAUGCAUUUGUGCUAAGUUAUAGCAUUUCAUAGACAACUUGUUGACUAUGAUUUGUCUUGUAGCUUACUCGCUUAUGUUAUUUUACCUACGCUUAGGAUGUUGACAGCAGUAUAGACUGU